GCUUCCACGGAGGCCUCGUGUAGGCCUCUGUGAAGCCUGAACUCGAGUAGGGACCAAGCCAGCCAGGAAGGAGGAGGCAGCCAGAGUGGCCACCACUGUUCUCUGCAGCAGAAGACCCCCUGCUGCCAGGGAGCGCAUUCCGAAGUCCAGGAGCAGCAACACAAACGGCCUGUUCCCAAGUAGCCGCAAAACGAGUUGGCGGCAGCCACAGGCGAACCUCUCCCGAUGAUCUUAACAGGCGGUGGGGCUCAUGGCGAAGAAGACUUUCUCUUAAAUACCCAGGGCCUAAGCUGUUAAGGGCUUUAUAGGUAAUCACCAGCACCUUGUAUUUUGCCCAGAAACGUAUCACCAACCAGUGUAGUUCUUUCAACACAGGAGUAAUAUUGUCUCUCCUAGAUGACCCAGAGACCAACCUGGCCGCUGCAUUCUGGACCAACUGCAGUUUCUGGACUACGUACAACAGCAGCCCCACAUAAAGUACAGUGCAGUAAUCCAGCCUAGAAGUUACUAGCAUAUGUACCGCCAUUUUGAGGUCAUUCAUCUCAAGAAACAGAUGCAGCUGGCGUAUCAGACGAAGCCAAUAAAAAGCUUUCUGGCCACCGCCUCAACCUGGGACACCAGGAAGAGGUUCGGAUCCAGAAGCACCCCCAGAUUCCGUACCUGUUCCUUCCGGGGGAGUGUGACCCUAUCCAGAACUGGCAGAUCAAAAUUGUCCCUGCUCCUGCUCCUCCCACUCCUGUUUUUCUCUCUUCUCCAGAAUCUUUCCUUUCCUCUCCUCUCCCCAGCACCUAGCUAUGAUAGCGGCAUGUCAAACAUGAAGUGUCCUGGGAAGUUCCAUUUUCCCAAUACUCCCAACUGGUUCUUAAAUUGUGGCCCUCCAGAAGUUGUUGGACUACAAGCUCUCAUCACCCGUAGUCACAAUGGCCAAUAAUAAUAAUAAACAAUGGUGAUGAUUUAGCUGUGCAAGUGCACAAGAUCCCUGGCCGACGAAAAAACUGGCACCCUUUGCUAACAAGGCUGUCAGAGGGGGCUUUGCUCCAUAAUCCAACUUUGGGGGUGGCUCGAUUGUCAUACAUGCAGGACAGGGCCUUCUCUGUUUUGGCCCCUGGACUCUAGAAUGCUCUCCCAGUGGGUGAGUGUUCUCUGGAAUCUGUGGCUGCUAAAAACAAUUUUCAAACUUUUUGAAAAUGCUUUUAUUUGUUUGUACUUUUACCCCUCAAGGGGUUACCAGUCUCUCCUUUCUGGCUGCUCUGUUGUUGUUUUUAUGAUUGUUGCUUUUGGGUGUCUUUCUGUCUUAAGACCAUAAAGACUUAAAUAUGAAAGACUGCUUAUAUUAAAGAUUAAGGAUUAAUAUUACAAUCCUAAAGACUGUUUUUAAUAUUUUAAUGUGAUUUUAUGGACUUUUCUUGUAUUGACUUUUGCAAACCGCCUUUUGUAAACCACCUAAGUUAUACGAGAGGCAGUAUAUAAAUCGAACAAUAAAUAAACAAAAUAAGUGCACAGGCACCAGUUCUCAGGCAA
Hemicordylus capensis (graceful crag lizard) is the source of this 1521-nucleotide long non-coding RNA. RefSeq lists it as uncharacterized. NCBI's taxonomy places the organism in Eukaryota, Metazoa, Chordata, Lepidosauria, Squamata, Cordylidae. The record is from RefSeq and is a predicted model, not a curated record. The transcript has 2 exons.